GUCUUCCCUCGCGCGUAGAGAGUGACUCGAAGGACCCCCUCUCCUCUUCGCUGCAGCCCCUCCCCAUGCACGCUGGGAGACUCUUGGAGGGGAUAAGGUGGGGCCCGGAGAGGAAGAGAAGACAAUCGGAUUGGAUAGGCAGCUGCCAUGGCAACUGGAGGCUGUGGUUAUAUUGUCAUAGUAACCGAUGUGUGCGGACAGGGUCACCCUCCCCUUGGCCAAUGGAUUCCCAGGAAACCACCCAGGGUUCCCCGUUGGCUUCCCUUCCAUCUAAAGGCCUCCCCCAAGUUUCGGGCCAAAAAGCUGAAAUAAAGAACGAAGUCAAUAAUAAUAUGAAGUGUAUGAGAAAUAGCUGGAAAAUUCAUCAUCCAUGACUUGAAGAAAUUGACGUUUUACAAGUUAUAUUUUCGGUGAAGAGGCACUUUCAAGAUCCUUCUCUGAGACCUGCACCAAUAAGACUAUACCAAUGUUCAGUUGAAACAUCAGACACUGUUCUGGUUAUGAUGGACACCACAGUGAAAGAGACCUGGUCCCUGCCUUGAGGAAACCCAACUGCUGGUAGAGAGCUCAGAGUAAUGAUUAGGAUGCAAUAUGAGGGAUGCAGUAAUUGGGAUCUACUUCUGGGAACCGUCACAGCCUGAGAAAGAUGGCAUGCCCUGAAUGGAAUUCACAGAGAAUUAUUUUAAGUAAAAGAAGUUUAAAGUUA
This 706-nucleotide long non-coding RNA is filed under the name Homo sapiens (human). RNAcentral describes it as "non-protein coding SMG7-AS1:14". Lineage: Eukaryota; Metazoa; Chordata; Mammalia; Primates; Hominidae. The record is from RNAcentral.